UUCCGGGAGAUGCACAAUUUAAUGUGCAUUUAUUUGCGUAUCACAAUGUAAUGUGCUAUAUGUAUGGUAUUUCAGAGUAGUGAUUACCUACAAAUAUCAAAAUCUAGGUAUCAUUUAAUAACACAAUCUCCACAAGAUAUUUCUCAUGAUGCUCAAAACAAUAAUGUGAGAAAUAUUAUAAGAGCAAGAAUGGAUCCUUCAAGACUUAUGCCUCUAUAUAAAUAACACAAUAAGAAACAUCACCCAUAAAGAAUAUAUGGAUGGGAGGAAAAGAAUUUAGAAACCAGUCUCAUGGCACAUAUGAAGAACAACAUACAGGCUCUAUGCUUCGUAGUUCUUCUGAUGAUGUCUAGCACUUUAUGGUCAUGUGAAGCAACUGCGAGAAACCAAGGUACAACUGGAUUGUGGACUUCAUGUUCGGCUUUCCGAGCAUGCCAGACACCAACGCCCAACAAUGUUGCUAUGUGCAAGAUUAGCUGUGAAUGGCGUGGUUACAGCUUUGAAGAAAGUUACUGCCAUCGUAAUAUAUCGUGUUGUUGCGUAUGGUGAAUGCUAUGGAAAUGAUGGAUACAAUGCACUUUCAUGUGCCAAAACCUUGUGCUAGUAAGAUAUGGAAACUUACAAUAAAUUAUACAAACUGAUUUUGGCUCGA
This is a long non-coding RNA of Aegilops tauschii subsp. strangulata, 652 nucleotides long. RefSeq lists it as uncharacterized. The record is from RefSeq and is a predicted model, not a curated record. NCBI's taxonomy places the organism in Eukaryota, Viridiplantae, Streptophyta, Magnoliopsida, Poales, Poaceae.